Long non-coding RNA from Leopardus geoffroyi (Geoffroy's cat), 2815 nucleotides. RefSeq lists it as uncharacterized. The transcript is spliced from 4 exons. NCBI's taxonomy places the organism in Eukaryota, Metazoa, Chordata, Mammalia, Carnivora, Felidae. The record is from RefSeq and is a predicted model, not a curated record.
GUCCACUCACGCACCUCUUCCCCAGAUUUCCUUGUUCCUGAUCUUAUUCGGUGUCUCCACCACCAUCCCCCACCAUCUAAGGGCUGACAAAAUGCUGAUCUAUCAUCAUGGAACACGACACUGCAUGACCACAGAACCAAAGAGUACAUUUUACUCUCGAGCACGUAUGAACACAUUGGGCUCAAACCAAAGAUAGAUUGGUCUUCCAUGUACCUCGACACCAAGAGACAAUCAACCCGGUAAAAAAAAAAAAAAAAAAAAUGGGGGAAGGUCCUGGUGAAAUGUCAGCUAACAGGCUGGCUCAGGGACACUUUUCAGGGUUGGGACACUGGAGGUGGUAUAUGGACUGGAGUCUUUUUCCUUUCAGGCCUCAGAACGAUGAGCUGAGACAUUUGCUACUGACAAGGAGUCAGUACUUCCACACAGUAAGCCAAAAUACUGCUGGUAGCUUCUGCAUGCUGGGAGAAUCUCCUCUACCACUAUUUCCGGGGACCAUCUCGAAGCGGGGCUGUAACAUGCGAGCAGUCCAUUCGCGGCUAGAGUCAACACUGUAUUAAGGCUGCAAGAGCCAGGUCCACAUCCUAUUGAGUGACUCGAAGGGAUGCCAGUUUCAAGUGGUGCUCGGGGCAAAAGAGGGCUCCCAACAGGGGCAGACAAGCUUCUCCGCCCCUUAGGCUGCGUGACCGAGCAGAUCUUAGAGUACUAGAGGUAUCUGUGGCCAAUACUGACGCUGUGAGGUUUCUAACACGCUUCCAGAAGAGAGAUGGCAGCAAAGACCCCUGGAGUUCUGCAGAAGGCCUAGCGUUGAUUCUGGGCUCUCCCAGAGAUGAAGUGCCUGACCAUGGGACACAGAAUUGAGGGUAUGACCCCAGAUGUGCAUUAUGAUCUGAGUUUCAUCAGGUCCAAGGAGUCAUAGGCCAGGUGGGUACAGCCAGCAGUCAUCCACCGUACAAUAAAAAGGAUACAUUCACGAUUUGGCCCAACCAAACCCAGACGACACAAGGACACGACACGAACAGGUGGCCCGGACUCCCACGGCACCUACUGCUUUUAAACCAACACGUCUCUCAACAGAGCAACGAUAAAGAAGGUCGGUGGCUUUCCUUCCCAUGUAAAGAACUGUUUUGGACCUCUGUAUUGUUAGGGAUAAAGAAAGAAAGAAUUUGCCAUAGCAGCAGCCCCAUAUCGAGUGUCGGAGAUACCACAAGUGACAGAGCAGCUGUGUGGCAGUUGGGGCUACCACGUGAUUCCGUUUACAAGAACCCACCCCCCUUCUCCAAGACGCGUCUGGCUUUUACAAAGGCUGGAAAUGUUCAUUGGACAGAGAUGUGAUGGGAACUGCUAUCCCUAUAUCCUUUCUUUCUUCAAGAGUAACACUGAUCUGUAAUCCCUCUCAAAAUGCUGUAUUGCUUCGGAUUUACUAUGUUGGCCAGGAUAAAGGAUAGUUUCCACAUGGCCCUUCCUAUCAAAUGGACUUUUACCCUAUCAGCCAGGGAACCGAUACAAAGAAUCUGCUAAGGAUGUGCAUUUCAUGUAUGCAUUGUGGUCCGUUUUCAUUGGGAACCAGAGAAAUAAACAAGGGGUUGGGUCCUUAGACUUUCCUCCCAGUGUACAGUUACAACAGGUCUCUUUGGGGGAAAGACUGGAGAACCAUCUACUAUGUAUACUUGAAAUGGCAUCACAGGAUCCUUCUUCAGGGGGAUCCAAUCCCCCCUCCUAUGGCUUAAGGGUUUGUGGACGUGACUGGUGGGGACUGAGUCCGGGACAGGUAUUUUCCAUUGUGGCUGCUGAAAUUAGCCUUCUGCUUUCCAGUGCUCCAUACUUCCUCAUUAUAAAAACUUGAGAACACUCUGGUUCAUCUGCCUCACCACUAGGAACACCAUGAUCUGUUAGCCAAUGCCCUGUAGAUCAAGGCACGCUGAAUGCCACUCUGGCCUUCCUGUCAAUUAUAGUAAUAAUGCCUCUUGCCUCUGAUGUUAAGUGCUGCCACGUGGCUUUUGCCAUUCCAGAAUCCCCCUGUUCCUACUGGAAUUAGAAAGCCUAGUUCCACGGUAACAUCUUCCACUGUCAACUGGCCUUCAAAGAUGCCGGUGGACCUCUCACAAGGGAGAUCUCUAUUGCUCUACUGAGCGAACCAUUGUCUGUGUCCUCCGGAAGUAGAGUCAGAUGAUAGGUUUUCAGGUCUUACGUGAAGCAUCAGGAGGCGACGCAGGCGAACUCUGGUCAGGAAGCAAGGCGAAUGACGGAGGCCUGGAGUGACGGGGGCUUGACCAGGAAGGCAUUCUGUGGCUACAUUUUUUACCUGCCCUCUCAGGGAGGAAUGAGGGCAUCUGGUUCUCAGAAAACAACUCCACGCCUCAUAUAUUAUGGAAGAGUAUGUAACGGGAACGGAUGACGGACCUGAGGGGAUUUCAGGGCUGGAAUGUGCUGGAUACGCCUUCGGUACUUCCUCAGACCCUCCUGACUUCACCUGCUUUAUCAGAUUCUGCUGGCUUCACCUGCAACCUGGGCCCCAAGCUGAUUGCUCUCUCUUGGUCAUCAUGCCUCUCUCUCAUAGGUUGAAACCCAGUCCCGCGUGUGAUGGCAUUUGGUGAUGAGGCCUUUGGGAGCCCUCACGAAUGGGACCAGCGCCCCAUAAAAAGAGAUGCCAGAGAGACGAUCUCGCUCUCCACCACGUGAGGUCACAGCAAGAAGGUGGCCAUCUGCAAACCAGGAGGGGGGGUCAUCACCAGGACGUGACCAUGCUGGCACCCUCCUGAUCUUGGACUCCCCACCUUCCAAAACCAUGGGAAAUAAAUUCCUGUUGUUUAAGCCA